AUUGAACGCUGGCGGAAUGCUUUACACAUGCAAGUCGAACGGCAGCACGGGUGCUUGCACCUGGUGGCGAGUGGCGAACGGGUGAGUAAUAUAUCGGAACGUAUCCAAUAAUGGGGGAUAACUAAUCGAAAGGUUGGCUAAUACCGCAUACGCCCUACGGGGGAAAGCAGGGGAUCUUCGGACCUUGCGUUAAUGGAGCGGCCGAUAUCUGAUUAGCUAGUAGGUGAGGUAAAGGCUCACCUAGGCGACGAUCAGUAGCUGGUCUGAGAGGACGACCAGCCACACUGGAACUGAGACACGGUCCAGACUCCUACGGGAGGCAGCAGUGGGGAAUUUUGGACAAUGGGCGCAAGCCUGAUCCAGCCAUUCCGCGUGAGUGAAGAAGGCCUUCGGGUUGUAAAGCUCUUUCGCAAGGGAAGAAACGAUACAGUCUAAUAAACUGUGUUAAUGACGGUACCUUGAUAAGAAGCACCGGCUAACUACGUGCCAGCAGCCGCAGUAA
RNAcentral lists this ribosomal RNA (502 nucleotides) under uncultured bacterium. Its description in RNAcentral is "partial 16S ribosomal RNA". It matches the Rfam family "Bacterial small subunit ribosomal RNA", at positions 30 to 523 of the family's 1533-position model. The record is from RNAcentral.